RNAcentral lists this ribosomal RNA (492 nucleotides) under uncultured bacterium. RNAcentral describes it as "partial 16S ribosomal RNA". It matches the Rfam family "Bacterial small subunit ribosomal RNA", at positions 29 to 507 of the family's 1533-position model. The record is from RNAcentral.
AGUGAACGCUGGCGGUAGGCCUAACACAUGCAAGUCGAACGGCAGCACAGUAAGAGCUUGCUCUUACGGGUGGCGAGUGGCGGACGGGAGAGGAAUACAUCGGAAUCUACUUUUUCGUGGGGGAUAACGUAGGGAAACUUACGCUAAUACCGCAUACGACCUACGGGGGAAAGCAGUGGAUCUUCGGACCUUGCGCGAUUGAAUGAGCCGAUGUCGGUUUAGCUAGUUGGCGGGGUAAAGGCCCACCAAGGCGACGAUCCGUAGCUGGUCUGAGAGGCUGAUCGCCCACACGGGAACUUGGACACGGUCAAUACUCCUACGGGAGGCAGCAGUGGGGAAUAUUGGGCAAUGGGCGCAAGCCUGAUCCAGCCAUACCGCGUGGGUGAAGAAGGCCUUCGGGUUGUAAAGCCCGUUUGUUGGGAAAGAAAAGCAGCAGGUUAAUACCCCGCUGUUCUGACGGUACCCAAAGAAUAAGCACCGGCUAGCUUCGUG